UACAGAGGGUGCGAGCGUUAAUCGGAAUUACUGGGCGUAAAGCGCACGCAGGCGGUCUGUCAAGUCGGAUGUGAAAUCCCCGGUCUCAACCUGGGAACUGCAUCCGAAACGGGCAGGCUAGAGUCUUGUAGAGGGGGGUAGAAUCCCAGAUGUAGCGCUGAACUGCGUAGAGAUCUGGAGGAAUACCGGUGGCGAAGCCGGCCCCCGGGACAAAGACUGACGCUCAGGUGCGAAAGCGUGGGGAGCAAACAGG
RNAcentral lists this unclassified non-coding RNA (253 nucleotides) under uncultured Enterobacteriaceae bacterium. RNAcentral describes it as "contains 16S-23S intergenic spacer region". It matches the Rfam family "Bacterial small subunit ribosomal RNA", at positions 524 to 776 of the family's 1533-position model. The record is from RNAcentral. Lineage: Bacteria; Pseudomonadati; Pseudomonadota; Gammaproteobacteria; Enterobacterales; Enterobacteriaceae.